This is a non-coding RNA of Lactuca sativa (garden lettuce), 2604 nucleotides long. The record is from RefSeq and is a predicted model, not a curated record. NCBI's taxonomy places the organism in Eukaryota, Viridiplantae, Streptophyta, Magnoliopsida, Asterales, Asteraceae.
UUUCGUCCUUGAUUUAUGUUGGGCAGUUUAUGCCAUUUUCUCCAUUCUUUUUUGUCCACACGUGUUGUGAUUCUCAAUCCACCGCUUCAAAUGUCCAAUGGUUUUUCUCCGGUGUUCGUGAUUCCUCCAUCAUCACCGCCUCUCAGGUAACCUUCCGUUCUCUCUCUUCGUCUCCUUCAAUUCUCGAUUUUCCAUUUCGGCUACUCGGACGAAUGGAUUAGGGUGAGUGGAUGUCGUUUUUCCUCUCUUGCAUCUUCUACACUUUUUCUUCUUCCCACGACUUCUUUUUUAUUAAAUUAAAUGAGUUGGGUUUCUUCCACAUAGUAGGAUCGCCAUGAACGAUCGACCAUUACCACGAGUUGUGGUCGAGUGUGCCACAAGCUGGAUUUUCAAGAUCCCGCUGAAGCCCUAGCCGGUAACAUUUGCCACCUGAAGGGUUGAUUCAUCGAAUGUUGUGGCUUCUUCCCUAUUUUUCUUCAGUUUUAAUUAUCAUUAUUAUUUUAAUCAACAAUUGAAACACUAAUUUCGUAUUCAAUUUUCAGAUUUUUAUAUAUCUGAACCAUGACAUUUUUUAUUGUUAAGGUACUUAGGGCAAUCAUGGAGAGACUACAUGUAUACAUGUGUAUGCAUGUGUGUAUCUAUGUUGAUGUUAGUUUAUUACUAAAAUGUAUAACAUUGGAUUUUGAUUUAUGUUUGGAUUAGGCUUGUCAUACAAAAGUAGAAUAUGAAGAAUAUGGGGCAACCAUAUGCAGAAUAUAUCUUGUUUUCAAGGGAUAUGUAGGUGUUCAGGUGCUUCUUUUUUAAAAGUAUAGAUUUUUAUGUAGGUACUUAUACUUGAGUAAAUUAUUAAGAGUGAGUAGAGCUUCAGAUGCUUUUCUGCACCUCAUAAUCAAUCAGGUGUCCAUUUUGGUAUUGCAAAAGUAUGAAUAUCUUGUAUUGGCGUGGGCCAUUAGUGAAGUAUUAUCAUCAUUAGCAGGAGAAGACAAGUCAAACAUGCCUUCAUUGAUCCUUCCUUUCAUUCUAGACACAUCAAAGACUAAGCUGGAAAGAAAAUACUCAGCAGAUGAAUGUGUUUAUGGCAUCCAAAUCGGCCCACCACCAACUGACCUAUGAAGCCUCUUUUAGUAUGUGAAAAAUGUCUUUUGCAAAACUGGUAAAACGAAAGAUGGAAUUCAAAUCCCUUUGAUUUCGUGUGAUUGAAAACUUUGAAACGGUAGCUUUCCAGUCAAUAUUCGACACCUGGCCUCAAUCAGCCGAGGUGGCAGUCUCUGGGUAAAGGGAAGAUGGCAGGUUUGUGUUCACCAUUUAAAAGAUAUUGGAAAAAAUACAUUCAGUUAUAGCAUUGUACUUUCAGAGUUCCUUUUUGUAAAUGGGUGAAUUGUAGACAAUAGCAACAUAGUUUACUGUGUAGCUACCAACUGAAGCAAUGUGCUAUACUUUCAUACAAAAACGACACCUUCCAACCCCCGCAACGUGGGGAACACCUUUCUAGUUAUUAUUAUUAUUAUUAUUAUUAUUAUUAUUAUUAUAGCACUAAAUUGUUUUACUAAUAUGGAUAGUCUUAUGUAACUAAUAUAAUAAACAUACAAAUUUAUUAAAUAAUUAGAAAAGAAAUUAACUAGAGUUCUUUAUGUAACUAAUAUAAUUAACAUACAAAUUUAUUAAAUAAUUAGAAAAGAAAUUAACUAGAGUUCUUUAUGUAACUAAUAUAAUAAAUAAACAAAUUAAUUAUAUAAUAAGAAAUGAAAUAGAGUGUAUCAUUAAAACUAGAAUUGCUGCAAAACAAUUUAGCUAUCGUCAAACCCAUUUAAUUAAGGAAUAAUAAUUUGAUAGGAUAAUUACUUAUGUAUUUUGUAUAUAUUUGGUCAUUUAACCAUUUUGUAUAUGUAUUUUUAACUAUUAAAAUUGUAAUUAUGUUUAAAACAUAUCAUUAUUAACUGCAAUAGUAGGUAAAACCUUUUUUUAGGGUUUGAGUUCCACAUCCGCUGAAAUUUUCGACGUUCUGAAUCUUGGGUGGCUUCUUCGGUCAUCUUAUCUUGCCAUAUCAGAUAUGGAAUCGUGUUUUUGAUUUAUUGGGUUUCUAAAAGGGAAUUUUUUUGAGCAUCUUCUUCUGAAAUAUGAUUUCAAGUAUGCCAUCCUUUACCAUAAAACCUCGACUUUUAAAGCUUGGGUUUGUGUGCGUUCAUGUUCAGCUUAGGAGGAAAUCAAAAUUUGAAGGAGGAAAGUGAAUUUAAACCGAGAUUCAGAUUUAAAAUCGAGAUCUGAUGAGAGAAUCGAUUUCAAGAACACAACUUCAAACGAUUUUAUCUUCGUUUGUGUUUCAACUAGGUUCAAUCUAUUUGCUUCCUAUGAUGUCAAGAACAUGGAAGAAGAUCGUUUAUCCAUCCAAAUUUGGUGUAAAUUGGGAAUGUUUGAAGUUCGUAGGUGAAAUCCUUUAAAGUCUUAUUAAUCUUAGAAAUUUCAUCGGAGAUGAUGCCGAAGAUGUUUCCGUACGUAAGGUGUAUAUGUCGCCAAAGUUGGAUCUCAAACAAUCAAAACAAUUUUUGUCUACGAUUUCAAAUAAUAAUCAUACGAUUUAAACAAAAUAUAAGUUUAAGGGUUAAU